Long non-coding RNA from Oncorhynchus tshawytscha (Chinook salmon), 768 nucleotides. RefSeq lists it as uncharacterized. The record is from RefSeq and is a predicted model, not a curated record. The transcript is spliced from 3 exons. Lineage: Eukaryota; Metazoa; Chordata; Actinopteri; Salmoniformes; Salmonidae.
GAGAGAGAGAGACCUCGGCCUAAACAUCAGCACCACAGUAUCCCUGGCAACAAGGACAGGGAUGCAGGAUUGAACCACCAUGCAAGACAACCAUUAAGGAUACUUGGUGGUUGGGGGAAACAGGACUGGAGACAUGAACAGGACUGGUAGUGGGUUCGCUUGUGGUGGAGACAGGGAAGACGGAGUCAAGGGAAGAGACGAGAGAGCCAAGCCUGGAGCUGACAGAUUUGUCCAGCAGCACAACAGACAAUGCUGACUCUAGAGAAUGUCUGAUUGCAGAGGAAGAAGAGGAUGGUGACAGCAAGAAAAGGAAGGACAUCACAGUGAAAACAUUUGGUAUCAGGACUCACAGUAAUGACAUCAGAGAUGAGGUCAGCGGAGAUUCCAAGAGCCAAUCAGUACAUGGUAGCAUUCUUUCAGUUUCUGUUGCUGUGUGUGUACAUGGUGCAGCCCCUGUCUCUAGCCUGGGCCUUCAUGGUGGGCAUAGAGACCAGCGUGUCACACAUUAUCAUCAUAGAUGACCACCAUUAGUGGGCUGCCUUCCGAACAAGAGAAAGAAAGAGAUCGAAUAAACCCCACUCCCCUCAAUUCCGCUAGCAAACAUGAAAUCUUUGUACAAUAAAAUGGACAAGUUAUUGGGAAGAAUAAACUACCAACGGGACAUUAGAAACUGUAACAUCUUGUGCUUCACAGAGUCGUGGCUGAACGACGACAAUAUCAACAUACAGCUGGCUGGCUAUACAAUGUACCGGCAGGAUAGAACAGCAG